This 669-nucleotide ribosomal RNA is filed under the name Bacillus anthracis (anthrax bacterium). Its description in RNAcentral is "bacterial SSU rRNA". It matches the Rfam family "Bacterial small subunit ribosomal RNA", at positions 46 to 699 of the family's 1533-position model. Lineage: Bacteria; Bacillati; Bacillota; Bacilli; Caryophanales; Bacillaceae. The record is from RNAcentral.
GCUAUAAUGCAGUCGAGCGAAUGGAUUGAGAGCUUGCUCUCAUGAAGUUAGCGGCGGACGGGUGAGUAACACGUGGGUAACCUGCCCAUAAGACUGGGAUAACUCCGGGAAACCGGGGCUAAUACCGGAUAACAUUUUGAACUGCAUGGUUCGAAAUUGAAAGGCGGCUUCGGCUGUCACUUAUGGAUGGACCCGCGUCGCAUUAGCUAGUUGGUGAGGUAACGGCUCACCAAGGCAACGAUGCGUAGCCGACCUGAGAGGGUGAUCGGCCACACUGGGACUGAGACACGGCCCAGACUCCUACGGGAGGCAGCAGUAGGGAAUCUUCCGCAAUGGACGAAAGUCUGACGGAGCAACGCCGCGUGAGUGAUGAAGGCUUUCGGGUCGUAAAACUCUGUUGUUAGGGAAGAACAAGUGCUAGUUGAAUAAGCUGGCACCUUGACGGUACCUAACCAGAAAGCCACGGCUAACUACGUGCCAGCAGCCGCGGUAAUACGUAGGUGGCAAGCGUUAUCCGGAAUUAUUGGGCGUAAAGCGCGCGCAGGUGGUUUCUUAAGUCUGAUGUGAAAGCCCACGGCUCAACCGUGGAGGGUCAUUGGAAACUGGGAGACUUGAGUGCAGAAGAGGAAAGUGGAAUUCCAUGUGUAGCGGUGAAAUGCGUAGAGAUAU